AGUGAACGCUGGCGGUAGGCCUAACACAUGCAAGUCGAACGGCAGCACAGUAAGAGCUUGCUCUUACGGGUGGCGAGUGGCGGACGGGUGAGGAAUACAUCGGAAUCUACUUUUUCGUGGGGGAUAACGUAGGGAAACUUACGCUAAUACCCAUACGACCUACGGGUGAAAGCAGGGGAUCUUCGGACCUUGCGCGAUUGAAUGAGCCGAUGUCGGAUUAGCUAGUUGGCGGGGUAAAGGCCCACCAAGGCGACGAUCCGUAGCUGGUCUGAGAGGAUGAUCAGCCACACUGGAACUGAGACACGGUCCAGACUCCUACGGGAGGCAGCAGUGGGGAAUAUUGGACAAUGGGCGCAAGCCUGAUCCAGCCAUACCGCGUGGGCGAAGAAGGCCUUCGGGUUGUAAAGCCCUUUUGUUGGGAAAGAAAAGCAGCAGGUUAAUACCCCGCUGUUCUGACGGUACCCAAAGAAUAAGCACCGGCUAACUUCGUG
This 491-nucleotide ribosomal RNA is filed under the name uncultured bacterium. RNAcentral's name for it is "partial 16S ribosomal RNA". It matches the Rfam family "Bacterial small subunit ribosomal RNA", at positions 29 to 507 of the family's 1533-position model. The record is from RNAcentral.